This 380-nucleotide ribosomal RNA is filed under the name uncultured bacterium. Its description in RNAcentral is "bacterial SSU rRNA". It matches the Rfam family "Bacterial small subunit ribosomal RNA", at positions 790 to 1167 of the family's 1533-position model. The record is from RNAcentral.
GUAGUCCACGCCGUAAACGAUGGGUGCUAGCCGUUGGAAGGUUACCUUUCAGUGGCGUAGUUAACGCGUUAAGCACCCCGCCUGGGGAGUACGGUCGCAAGAUUAAAACUCAAAGAAAUUGACGGGGACCCGCACAAGCGGUGGAACAUGUGGUUUAAUUCGAGGCAACGCGAAGAACCUUACCAGGAUUUGACAUGCCCUCUAUGGGGCUCUGAAAGGAGCUCCUUCACUUCGGGUGGGAGGUGCACAGGUGCUGCAUGGCUGUCGUCAGCUCGUGUCGUGAGAUGUUGGGUUAAGUCCCGCAACGAGCGCAACCCUCGUCCUCUGUUGCUAACAGGUUAGGCUGAGCACUCUGAGGAAACUGCCGGUGAUAAGCCGGA